GAUCCUGGCUUAGGAUGAACGCUAGCUACAGGCUUAACACAUGCAAGUCGAGGGGCAGCAUUGGAGUAGCAAUACUUCAGAUGGCGACCGGCGCACGGGUGAGUAACACGUAUCCAACCUGCCGCUUACUCGGGGAUAGCCUUUCGAAAGAAAGAUUAAUACCCGAUGGUAUAAAGAGUUCGCAUGUUCUCUUUAUUAAAGAAUUUCGGUAAGCGAUGGGGAUGCGUUCCAUUAGAUAGUUGGCGGGGUAACGGCCCACCAAGUCUACGAUGGAUAGGGGUUCUGAGAGGAAGGUCCCCCACAUUGGAACUGAGACACGGUCCAAACUCCUACGGGAGGCAGCAGUGAGGAAUAUUGGUCAAUGGACGAGAGUCUGAACCAGCCAAAAGUAGCGUGAAGGAUGACUGCCCUAUGGGUUGUAAACUUCUUUUAUAAGGGAAUAAAGUGAGGGACGUGUCCCUUUUUGUAUGUACCUUAUGAAUAAGGAUCGGCUAACUCCGUGCCAGCCGCCGC
This 513-nucleotide ribosomal RNA is filed under the name uncultured bacterium. RNAcentral's name for it is "bacterial SSU rRNA". It matches the Rfam family "Bacterial small subunit ribosomal RNA", at positions 15 to 518 of the family's 1533-position model. The record is from RNAcentral.